Molecule: ribosomal RNA, 466 nt
Filed under: uncultured bacterium
Lineage: Bacteria
Description: partial 16S ribosomal RNA
Rfam family: Bacterial small subunit ribosomal RNA
Source: RNAcentral
GAUGAACGCUGGCGGCGUGCUUAACACAUGCAAGUCGAACGGAAAGGCUCCUGCUUGCAGGGGUACUCGAGUGGCGAACGGGUGAGUAACACGUGGGUGAUCUGCCCUGCACUUCGGGAUAAGCCUGGGAAACUGGGUCUAAUACCGGAUAGGACGAUGGUUUGGAUGCCAUUGUGGAAAGUUUUUUCGGUGUGGGAUGAGCUCGCGGCCUAUCAGCUUGUUGGUGGGGUAAUGGCCUACCAAGGCGUCGACGGGUAGCCGGCCUGAGAGGGUGUACGGCCACAUUGGGACUGAGAGACGGCCCAGACUCCUACGGGAGGCAGAAGUGGGGAAUAUUGCACAAUGGGCGCAAGCCUGAUGCAGCGACGCCGCGUGGGGGAUGACGGCCUUCGGGUUGUAAACUCCUUUCGCUAGGGACGAAGCGCAAGUGACGGUACCUGGAGAAGAAGCACCGGCUAACUACGUG